CACACACCCUGGUGUGAUGGCGUGGAUCGAUCAGAGCAAAGGGGGGAGAAGACAAACCCUAACUUCAUGAAAUUCUCAAGAAUUGAAAGAGAUUAGGAGCCCAAACUAAUGCAUGAACUCGAAACCUCAAUCAUCUAAGCUUGUACAACAAGCGGAACGUGUCAAGGAGAGGUCAAGCAUAGGAGGAUAACGGGUCAAGAUAAGGCAAGAUGACAAAUACACUUAUUGGAGUACUCGAGGUAAGUGAAUUUCGAUUCACUUUUUAGUAGGUUUAAUAGAUUUUAAUACUUAUGUUUACGAAACAUCAUGAAAGAACAUGUAAUAAUCAGAAGUACAAAGCCAAUAAUGCCUCAUUAUUGAAGAAGGUUGUAUUUAAGCCGAAAGUAAAUUGGUGGGUUUAAACGGGUCGAA
Long non-coding RNA from Helianthus annuus (common sunflower), 411 nucleotides. RefSeq lists it as uncharacterized. The transcript has 2 exons. The record is from RefSeq and is a predicted model, not a curated record. Lineage: Eukaryota; Viridiplantae; Streptophyta; Magnoliopsida; Asterales; Asteraceae.